CCUCUAGCUAAGAUCGAUCAGUGAAACGUUUAAGUAGAAAUUAUGGUGCAGUUUAGACUAAUGAUUGUUUUACCAUUGGUAGUUGGUGUGCUACUACAGGAUUGCACAGCCAACCCAAUUUCUUCUGAAGAGGAGUCCGAUCCGGCAAAGCUGUUCUCACCAGAUGAAUUACAGCGUGCAAAUAGCGUAGGAAUAACGGUGGAAAGAUUAGUUGAAGGAAGAUCUGACGGUUUCACAUUCGAAGAAAUGAUGAAAUUACAUGAAUUACGAAAGACAGCGAUUACGGACAAAGGACCGUCUUCCACCACCUCUGAACAUAUGAAAAAAGUUUGUAAGAUAUUGGCACCUGAACAAAAAAUAUUAAAAGAUUUAACCAGCGCUCAGGAAGCAAAAUUAUCAGAUAUGGACAAAGUGAUGAAUCAUUUGGUUAGCAAACGCGACCCUUUCGAUUUGGGUGGUAAUAAUCCGAUCGACAGAAAAUUCAUUUUGAUCGACCAAAAAUAAAAUUCUACCAACUGAAAAUUACAGUUCACCGACCGAAAGGUGAUCGACUAAAAAUUCAAAAUAAUCGACCUUGAAUUAAGAUUUGAUCGACAUCGUCAGUACCUUCCAUUCAAUAAAUAUGCCCGACUAGAAUUUACCGUACGAAUAUGCCGCUAAUCGACUCAGAAAUAUGAAUUACCGACGAAGAUGGUACUUUGUAGUUAAAGGAUGGGUUCGGUAAAUUUGAAUUUUUGGUCGUUAGUUAUUAUUCUGUCCAGUAAUUUGCAUUUUUCGUCGAUACUCUAUUAUUUGGGUCGAUCGUUUUCUGUCGACACAUAAUUUUAUUGAUGGAUCAAUUACAGUAGGUGAGUUGAAAUUACGUGGCGGUACUUAAUCUAUCUCUGUCGGUCGUAAUGUUAUUUACAACCGAGCACAAAUAGUUAUUUUCGACUAUUUAUUCCAGGUGUCCAACAUGUCCUUACGUGUCCUACGGGAGCAUCCAUAAAGGACUUCCGCACAAUUUUUAGGAAAACUUUUCAUGAAAUGCAUGAACUCUGCAGUUUUUUUCUAAAUACAAAUCCAAAAUUGUUUUUGAUACAACAUUACGUAAAACGAGACGAAGCUAUUUUUGACUAUUUUUGCGUGUGAGGAUCAAAAUGAGACAAGACUCAAAAUGAAUAACAAGGAAAUCGCUCUAGAAAAAAUUUCAGAUUUUCUUAUCAAUCAUCAAUGCACACUCGAUCGCGUCCGCAAAAGUAUAUGAAAUUCUAUUCUGAAAUAUUUCGGUGCGAGCAGAAAAUACCGGAAAUUUAAUUGAUAAUACUGACUCAAAAAUCAGUACAGCAACUUAUAAUUUAUUUAUACCGUAAACGAAAUCAAGAAUACCGACCAAAAUUACCGAAGAAAAAAUUAAAAUUAACGACGCACAAUCUGCAAGUAACGACUAUUAAAAACAACGACCGACCAUUUAAUUAAAAAACUGACCAAAAAAGAAAUUACCGACCGGAACAGAUCGACAGAAAUAAUAAAUUACCGACGGACAAGUGAUCGACUAUUAAAUUAGGUUACCGACGAUAAAUUCAAAGUUACCGAAACGUAAGUCGAAAGUACCGGAAACAUACUAUCGACGGAAAAUACGAAACUACCGACUGAAAAUUUUAUUAACCGGUCGAUCAAACACAUUAAACGGUCGAUCGAAAAGAUUUUUGGCCGGUAGUUUUACUAUUUCAGUCGAUCUUUCGUUUUAUUGGUCGGUAAUUUUUAAUUUUUUGUCGAUCUACUUCUGUCGGUACAUUUGAUUUUAUUUUCGGUGAAAUUGAAUAAAUGGAUGGUAAAUUAUAAUUUCAGUCGAUCAAAUCAAUGUUUGGUCCGGUACUUUCGAUUUAUUGUACUCGGCCAAUAUAAUGUUCCUUUCGAUUUUAUUGUAAUAAAUUUUGCAAACGAAGAUGUUGCAAAAACACAUGAAUGAUUUUCACAAACUUUUUAGCGAUCAAACCUUUGUAGUUAUUUAAGUCAACAUGAUGUACUUGAAAUGGAGGCUAAUUCAUUCGGUUUACCAUUGGUUCCGUACCUGGAAAUUCGUUUCUUCAAGUCAACAGCUCAAAAAGCUUCGUCAAGCGCCGAACAUGUUAUAGUGGCUAAACAAAUUUGCUGCUUGCGUAUAAACCGAAGUGAGAACGGGGUAGUUGUUGGAUAGAUCGACAUUCAAUGGAGAAUUGCCCGAUGCAGAUUUGAUUGGAUUUGUCGAACAAUGGAAUGCAUUCGAAACUUCAAAGACAUUGAAAUCAUUGGAAAACGUCUGCGAUUUUCUACAAACCAAAGAACACACCAACGACAAAUGCUUGGUAGCUACGCCAAUUGAUGGACCAAUUGAUGAAUCAGUUGAUUUGUAAAUUUGUAUAGUCCGAAAUAAAGUAAAAUUGCAUCCAGA
This is a long non-coding RNA of Bradysia coprophila, 2413 nucleotides long. The record is from RefSeq and is a predicted model, not a curated record. NCBI's taxonomy places the organism in Eukaryota, Metazoa, Arthropoda, Insecta, Diptera, Sciaridae.